This 253-nucleotide ribosomal RNA is filed under the name uncultured bacterium. RNAcentral's name for it is "partial 16S ribosomal RNA". It matches the Rfam family "Bacterial small subunit ribosomal RNA", at positions 524 to 776 of the family's 1533-position model. The record is from RNAcentral.
UACGAAGGGGGCUAGCGUUGCUCGGAAUCACUGGGCGUAAAGCGCACGUAGGCGGUUUGCUAAGUCAGGGGUGAAAUCCUGGAGCUCAACUCCAGAACUGCCUUUGAUACUGGCGAUCUCGAGUCCGGGAGAGGUGAGUGGAACUGCGAGUGUAGAGGUGAAAUUCGUAGAUAUUCGCAAGAACACCAGUGGCGAAGGCGGCUCACUGGCCCGGUACUGACGCUGAGGUGCGAAAGCGUGGGGAGCAAACAGG